Molecule: ribosomal RNA, 468 nt
Filed under: uncultured bacterium
Lineage: Bacteria
Description: partial 16S ribosomal RNA
Rfam family: Bacterial small subunit ribosomal RNA
Source: RNAcentral
GACGAACGCUGGCGGCGUGCUUAACACAUGCAAGUCGAACGGAAAGGCCCUGCGUUUGUGGCGUUCUCGAGUGGCGAACGGGUGAGUAACACGUGAGUAACCUGCCCUUGACUUUGGGAUAACUUCAGGGAAAUGGGGCGAAUACCGGAUAGGAGCUCCUGCUGCAUGGUGGGGGUUGGAAAGUGUCGGCGGUUGGGGAUGGACUCGCGGGUUAUGAGCUUGAUGGUGGGGUAGUGGCUUACCAAGGGUGUGACGGGUAGCCGGCCUAAGAGGGUGAACGGCCACAUUGGGCCUGAGAGACGGCCCAGACUCCUACGGGAGGCAGAAGUGGGGAAUAUUGCACAAUGGGCGGAAGCCUGAUGCAGCAACGCCGCGUGCGGGAUGACGGCUUUCGGGUUGUAAACCGCUUUCGCCGGUGACGAAGCCUGAGUGACGGUAAUGGGUAAAGAAGCACCGGCUAACUACGUG